This is a long non-coding RNA of Ananas comosus (pineapple), 700 nucleotides long. RefSeq lists it as uncharacterized. Lineage: Eukaryota; Viridiplantae; Streptophyta; Magnoliopsida; Poales; Bromeliaceae. The record is from RefSeq and is a predicted model, not a curated record. The transcript has 2 exons.
UCUUAGAAUUUUGAGUAUGAAUUAUUAAAUUUCUUGGCACGUGAAUUGGUAAGCAAGCUCUGUUUGUAUGUGGAUCUCGACAAUGGACGUAUCCAAACAUGCCCUAAAAUCUAACAAAUUAGGAACCAUCCGAACCUCAAAAGAACCCGACCCGAAUCGGACUCAACCCGUCUCGGUCACCUUCUACCUUCACCAGCUCACCCCCAACGCAGCCGAACUCGUCAAUAUCGCAGCGAAGCAACGAAUCCCCAAAAAGCGAUCGCGAUCGCCAUGGCCGGAGACGAGGUCGGCGUCAAGCUCGUCCGCUUCCUCUACUUCGUCGGCGCCGGAGUGAUUUGCACCAAAGCGAUCAAUCUCUGGAGGGACUACGAGCGGAACAGGAGAUCGCCGCCGCCGCUGCUGAGAUGGGCGAGUCACCGCCGACGCCGCAGGAAUUGGUGGGCGGCGGACCCGCCGCGGCGAAAUCUUAAGUCCCGGCUAGGGUUUCUCUCUGUAUCUAAAAAGUUUUGAAAUUUGCGCCGAAACCGUGUAGUUUAUGAUGAAAAGAUCACAGCUUUAGUACGAUUUUUCAACUUCAGGGGUUGCGAUUGAUUGCUACAGUUUUCAUAAGGUAUAUGAUGCUAUUUGUUCAUCCUUUUUGGUUAUGAUCAGUGGAUAUUUUCAUGUUCUUUACAUAAAUUUUUCUUCAACUUGAUACAAA